GAUGAACGCUGGCGGCGUGCCUAAUACAUGCCAGUCGAGCGAACAGACGAGGAGCUUGCUCCUCUGACGUUAGCGGCGGACGGGUGAGUAACACGUGGAUAACCUACCUAUAAGACUGGGAUAACUUCGGGAAACCGGAGCUAAUACCGGAUAAUAUAUUGAACCGCAUGGUUCAAUAGUGAAAGACGGUUUUGCUGUCACUUAUAGAUGGAUCCGCGCCGCAUUAGCUAGUUGGUAAGGUAACGGCUUACCAAGGCAACGAUGCGUAGCCGAGCUGAGAGGGUGAUCGGCCACACUGGAACUGAGACACGGUCCAGACUCCUACGGGAGGCAGCAGUAGGGAAUCUUCCGCAAUGGGCGAAAGCUUGACGGAGCAACGCCGCGUGAGUGAUGAAGGUCUUCGGAUCGUAAAACUCUGUUAUUAGGGAAGAACAAAUGUGUAAGUAACUAUGCACGUCUUGACGGUACCUAAUCAGAAAGCCACGGCUAACUACGUG
Molecule: ribosomal RNA, 497 nt
Filed under: uncultured bacterium
Lineage: Bacteria
Description: partial 16S ribosomal RNA
Rfam family: Bacterial small subunit ribosomal RNA
Source: RNAcentral